Molecule: long non-coding RNA, 191 nt
Filed under: Cricetulus griseus (Chinese hamster)
Lineage: Eukaryota; Metazoa; Chordata; Mammalia; Rodentia; Cricetidae
Description: lncRNA (ENSCGRG00000024417.1)
Source: RNAcentral
GUUACUUUUAUUUGUCUACAAGCAGAUAUUCUAAAAUUUUUAAAUGUUUUAGCAGUCAUACAGACUGUUAAGGAUGAACACCUUCCUCAUGUCAGCUGAAGACCGUAUCUCCUGUUUCUCUGGUGACAUUAGAAAGCUAACUAAAAUUACAGGAUCAUAUUGCUUAAGUUCUUCAAACUACUGUCAACGAG